UGUUCCCGGGCCUUGUACACACCGCCCGUCACACCACGAAAGUCGGCAAUACCCGAAGCCGGUGGCCUAACCCGUAAGGGAGGGAGCCGUCGAAGGUAGGGUCGAUGAUUGGGGUG
This 116-nucleotide ribosomal RNA is filed under the name uncultured bacterium. Its description in RNAcentral is "partial 16S ribosomal RNA". It matches the Rfam family "Bacterial small subunit ribosomal RNA", at positions 1369 to 1482 of the family's 1533-position model. The record is from RNAcentral.